Long non-coding RNA from Chelonia mydas (Green sea turtle), 215 nucleotides. RefSeq lists it as uncharacterized. NCBI's taxonomy places the organism in Eukaryota, Metazoa, Chordata, Testudines, Cheloniidae. The transcript has 3 exons. The record is from RefSeq and is a predicted model, not a curated record.
ACUUACAUUUCAGUGGAUCGUAUAAUAGAGCAAUAUAAACAAGUCAUUGUCUGUAUGAAAUUGUAGUUUGUACCGACUUCACUAGUGCUUUUUAUGUAUCCUGUUGUAAAACUAGGCAAAUAUCUAGAUGGGUUGAUGUACCCCAUGGAAGAUCUCUGAGUAUCCCCAGGGUUCAUAUACCCCUGGUUGAGAACCACUGGCAUAGACUAACCAAU